RNAcentral lists this ribosomal RNA (579 nucleotides) under Phomopsis sp. HCCB03520. RNAcentral's name for it is "eukaryotic LSU rRNA". The stretch from base 206 to 359 matches the Rfam family "5.8S ribosomal RNA". The record is from RNAcentral. Lineage: Eukaryota; Fungi; Ascomycota; Sordariomycetes; Diaporthales; Diaporthaceae.
UUUCGUAGGGGUGAAUGCGGAGGGAUCAUUGGUGGAACGCGCUUUGGCGCACCCAGAAACCCUUUGUGAACUUAUACUUAUUGUUGCGUCGGCGCAGGCCGGCCUCUUCACUGAGGCCCCCUGGAGACAGGGAGCAGCCCGCCGGCGGCCAACCAAACUCUUGUUUCUACAGUGGAUCUCUGAGUAAAAAACAUAAAUGAAUCAAAACUUUCAACAACGGAUCUCUUGGUUCUGGCAUCGAUGAAGAACGCAGCGAAAUGCGAUAAGUAAUGUGAAUUGCAGAAUUCAGUGAAUCAUCGAAUCUUUGAACGCACAUUGCGCCCUCUGGUAUUCCGGAGGGCAUGCCUGUUCGAGCGUCAUUUCAACCCUCAAGCCUGGCUUGGUGAUGGGGCACUGCUCUCUGACGAGAGCAGGCCCUGAAAUCUAGUGGCGAGCUCGCUAGGACCCCGAGCGUAGUAGUUAUAUCUCGUUCUGGAAGGCCCUGGCGGUGCCCUGCCGUUAAACCCCCAACUUCUGAAAAUUUGACCUCGGAUCAGGUAGGAAUACCCGCUGAACUUAAGCAUAUCAAAAAGCGAGGAA